GUGUUCGCUUCGGCAGCACAUACUAAAUUGGAACAAAACAGAAAAGAUUAGCAUGGCCCCUGUGCAAGGAUGACACACAUAUUUGUGAAGCAUUCCAUAUUUUU
Oryctolagus cuniculus (rabbit) is the source of this 104-nucleotide small nuclear RNA. The record is from Ensembl. NCBI's taxonomy places the organism in Eukaryota, Metazoa, Chordata, Mammalia, Lagomorpha, Leporidae.